This 652-nucleotide long non-coding RNA is filed under the name Sus scrofa (pig). Its description in RNAcentral is "lncRNA (ENSSSCG00070000840.1)". Lineage: Eukaryota; Metazoa; Chordata; Mammalia; Artiodactyla; Suidae. The record is from RNAcentral.
AUGCCUCAUCCCCACAUCCAGUGGCUUAGGUUAGGUAUCCAGUUCGCACAAACCAGAUUCCACGUCAGAUUCCUCAACAGAUUUUCUCUAGAAAAUGACUUUUGGCAUCAUAAUCAGUGGCAUUUUCCCUUUUGGCUGUAUUUUUAUUCAACUCUUUUUCCUUCUGAACAGUGUUUGGAACAGUCGGAUUUUUUUCCUGCUUCUGUUUUAUUAUCAAAAUCUACAGUGUGGUGAAAGUGGAUUAAAGAAUGUCCCCAGAGGCUUCCAGGCACAUCACCCUUGCUUUUGAAUAUACAUCUGUAUCUAUAUGAACAUCUAUAAAGAUACAUAUGUAUGCUUCCAAUUGCCUGUUUUUAAUAUAUAUCAAUUGGAAAAUCUCAUUGUCUGGCCUCAGUUUGUGUAACACAACACACUGAUUGCAUGCAGAAAACCAGGUUGGGAAAUAGCUUUAUUCUAAGUCAUAUUUUCCUGAAAUGAUACUAUAAAAGGGUUUGAUUUAAAGGAAUUAGAGCAAGGGAGGCACAUUUAUUUAAGAAAUUAAAGUGCAGUGGUUUUUCAGAUGAAGAAUUUUUCUUUUUUUCUUCCUCAUUUAUUUAGAGCAUCAGAACUAUUGUCAAAUAAAUUUUAGGUAAAACGUGAACUUUUUUUUUUU